RNAcentral lists this long non-coding RNA (598 nucleotides) under Chinchilla lanigera (long-tailed chinchilla). RNAcentral's name for it is "lncRNA (ENSCLAG00000022862.1)". The record is from RNAcentral. Lineage: Eukaryota; Metazoa; Chordata; Mammalia; Rodentia; Chinchillidae.
GUAGUUGCAAAGGCAUCAGCCUUAUUUCAACAAAUAAGUCUGUCACUAUGCAUUAGAUGUUAAAUAUAUCAGAAAAUAUCAACAGGACACCAUACUACAAAGCUGAAUGUACAAAACCAAGUUGCCUGAUUCAACAGACAAGAUGCUACAAGAGGUCCUGACAUGGCCAUGAAGAGGUUUUAAUAUCUAAAAUAAGGGAGGAAGGUGUUGAAGAAAAGAAAAGCAUGGUCUUAUACCAGAAAGAAUGGCUACCAUCAGGAAUAAUAAUAAAUGAUAAUAAAUAAUAACAAAUCAAUAAUAAUAAAUGCUGGUCAGGCUGUGGGAAGAAAGGAAGUUUUCUACUUUGUCAGUGGGAAGUAAAGGAGCACAACCAUUAUGGAAAUCAGUCUGGUGAUUUUCUAAAGAAGAAAUUCCAUUCAACCCAGCUAUUAUCCUUCCAGGUGUCUUCCUGACAGAGUUAAAGACAUCAUAUGACAGUGUUAUACGAGUACCCACAUUUAUAGCAGCACAAUUCACAACACUAAAUCAUGAAAACUGCCUAUGUAUCUAUCAACAGAUGAAUAGAUAAAGAAAAUGUGGAAUUUAUACCCAAAGGAGU